AUGGAUGAAGCUGUCUACAAAUGCUCGGCCAUCACACCAAAUGGAAGAGAUCAAAGUACAAUAAAGCAAAUAGUAGAAGACUCUGAAAUGCCCCAGGUGCAGUUUGAUAUGAUUGAUGAUGAGGACGUGGCCACAUGCGUCUCCAAGGGCUGGUACCUCAUGCCCAAUGUUACCUGGUUGGACCGGGCAGAGAGGGACCUAAGCAACCACAGUACAGUGGGGGUCCUGGAAGAGCAGAUGAAUGCCUUCUACAGGGUGUUCUCUGUCCUGAAAUACUCCGUCAAGUUAGAUGAGAAAUAUGUCUGCCACACAACAGAGACAGAUGUGAACAACCAGCCCUUCAGAAUCAUCCACAAGUACCCAAGGAGAAAGUAUUCCCGUACAUAUGACUACCAUUAAGAGAUUUGAAUAACAUCUGACCAAGGACCAAACUGUCUUUCCUUUAGCCACUGGAGCUCCUGGCUUUCUUUUGUGAGCUAUAUUCUCUUUGCCCUACGUACCUAUCUGUCAUAAACAUAACACAUUAGGAGGUAACAGGCCCAGUGUACUGGACUUUGACUAAAACUAUAGGAGAUCCCCUGUUUUAUCUCUUAUAGAUCUGUAGAUUAAUAAAGUCUUGCUUCUUAAUGCUCAAAAUUCUCCAAGCCAGGCUUCAGUAAUACGUGAACCGUGAA
This 674-nucleotide long non-coding RNA is filed under the name Capra hircus (goat). Its description in RNAcentral is "lncRNA (ENSCHIG00010003218.1)". The record is from RNAcentral. Lineage: Eukaryota; Metazoa; Chordata; Mammalia; Artiodactyla; Bovidae.